UGCUUACACAUGCAAGUCGAACGAUGAACCACUUCGGUGGGGAUUAGUGGCGAACGGGUGAGUAACACGUGGGCAAUCUGCCCUGCACUCUGGGACAAGCCCUGGAAACGGGGUCUAAUACCGGAUACUGACCAUCUUGGGCAUCUUCGAUGGUCGAAAGCUCCGGCGGUGCAGGAUGAGCCCGCGGCCUAUCAGCUAGUUGGUGAGGUAAUGGCUCACCAAGGCGACGACGGGUAGCCGGCCUGAGAGGGCGACCGGCCACACUGGGACUGAGACACGGCCCAGACUCCUACGGGAGGCAGCAGUGGGGAAUAUUGCACAAUGGGCGAAAGCCUGAUGCAGCGACGCCGCGUGAGGGAUGACGGCCUUCGGGUUGUAAACCUCUUUCAGCAGGGAAGAAGCGAAAGUGACGGUACCUGCAGAAGAAGCGCCGGCUAACUACGUGCCAGCAGCCGCGGGGUAAUACAA
Molecule: ribosomal RNA, 468 nt
Filed under: Streptomyces thinghirensis
Lineage: Bacteria; Bacillati; Actinomycetota; Actinomycetes; Kitasatosporales; Streptomycetaceae
Description: bacterial SSU rRNA
Rfam family: Bacterial small subunit ribosomal RNA
Source: RNAcentral